AUGGCUGUCGUCAGCUCGUGUCGUGAGAUGUUGGGUUAAGUCCCGCAACGAGCGCAACCCUUACUUUUAGUUGCCACCAUUUAGUUGGGCACUCUGAAAGAACUGCCAGUGAUAAGCUGGAGGAAGGUGGGGAUGACGUCAAGUCCUCAUGGCCCUUACGUGUUGGGCUACACACGUGCUACAAUGGUAUCUACAACAGGAAGCAAAACAGCGAUGUUAAGCAAAUCCCGAAAAGAUACCUCAGUUCGGAUUGCACUCUGCAACUCGAGUGCAUGAAGCUGGAAUUACUAGUAAUCGCGGAUCAGCGUGCCGCGGUGAAUACGUUCCCGGGUCUUGUACACACCGCCCGUCACACCAUGGGAGUUGGUUCUACCUUAAGGCAAAGCUUAAAACCUUUGACCACGGUAUAGUCAGCGACUGGGGUGAAGUCGUAACAAGGUAGCCGUAGGGGAACCUGCGGCUGGAUUACCUCCUUUCUAAGGAUGAUUGAAAGUAAAAUUUCAAUCUAAAUAAUAUACAGGUUAAUGUUGACCGUCCUCAUUUCUCUUCUUAAAAUAGUGUUUCUCUUCUGCAUGGGGGCCGGUAGCUCAGUUGGUUAGAGCACACCCUUGAUAAGGGUGGGGUCGAUAGUUCGAGUCUAUCUCGGCCCACCAAAUUUUAUCUGGGGGAUUAGCUCAGCUGGGAGAGCGCCUGAUUUGCAUUCAGGAGGUCAGCGGUUCGAUCCCGCUAUCCUCCACCAAGAAACACUUCGUUAUUUUUUUUGUGAAUAUUUAAUAAUUUAUAUCAAUAUCUAUAUCCGAACAUUAAUUUAUCUAUUAAUGUUCAAAUAAAAAAUUUGAUUCAACACAGAAUUUUUUUCUGUGCAUAAAUCAAGCGUUUAAGGGCGUGUGGCGGAUGCCUUGGCACUGAAAGCCGAUGAAGGACGUGGUAUACUGCGAUAAGUUACGGGGAGCUGUAUGCAAGUUUUGAUCCGUAAAUUUCCGAAUGGGGAAACCCGG
This 998-nucleotide small RNA is filed under the name uncultured bacterium. RNAcentral describes it as "bacterial SSU rRNA". The stretch from base 1 to 476 matches the Rfam family "Bacterial small subunit ribosomal RNA", at positions 1045 to 1533 of the family's 1533-position model. The record is from RNAcentral.